CUUCCUGGAGGUGCUGUCCUCUUCAGACAACACAGUCCCAGAAAGAGAUGCUCUUGUGGCUGACGUCAUCAACACUGCUGCAGAGGACAUUGCAGUCAAUAGGAAUGCUGUUGAUCCCCUGCCUGGCAAUCUCUCCUCCCCUGAAUCAGUCUUGGAUGCAACACCAACAGGAUUUCUGAACCUGGGCUUCUCUGAAGAAGAUUCAUCCCAGAAGCCAGACAUUCCCAGUGACCAGCCCCGGGUGGCACCUACAACAUCUGGAUCCAGGCCAUUCAGGGUCUGGAAACUGGUGAGGAAGCGAAUUUCCCAUGCACUGAGAGCACUGUGCCGCUGCUGCUGCUGCUGCUGCUGCUGCCUGCCCACCCCAAGUGUGGAAAAUGAAAUGGUCCAAUAGAAUUCUAGCCCUGGUGAGGAGCCACGGAAGGGACCCAAGACAGACCGCCAGAGUGCCAGCUCCCUCCAACACAUGGCAACAGGCUCCUGCAUCGAUCCUCCAGCUAUUGGGUCUAAGCUGCCACUUUAUAACUCCUCCAGCUUACUUAGCCCCAGCACUAUUGUUGGAUGAAGAGGUGGUCGGAAGACAAUGUACCCAGUGACUCUUUACCUUCCCAGCUUUGGUUGUGCUUGUAGGACCACUCACACUGCAUGGAAAACAGCAGCCUCUACCACCAGGAAAUGACUUCAUACCUGCUCAUCAUCUUGGUCACUUUAACCCUCCAAUUUCUUCUCUGGCUGCCUUUUUGAAAGAACAGCAAGACCUGUAGCUGGGGUGCAGCAGGAGAAAGAUGCAGGACUAUCAGUCAGUCCGGUCCUCCUCAGUGCUGAGCUCCUUUAUCCAGGCUUCCCAUGUUGCCUCCCACCUCCUGAUUCAGAAUCUUGCAUCAUUUACCCAUGUCAUGGAUAGAUUUGUACCUGAUAUUUGAUCUACGUUACUAUUGUUCUGCUCCAGCAUGGGUAGGAGCUCUAAUGACAGCCUCUGGUGCAGAGUGAAGCAAUGGUCAGUGUAGGGUCUGAAGUGGAUUCCAGGACACCUUCCAGGUAGGAAGCAACUCACUGACUUGACAAGAGGAAAUGAACUCAACAGAGACUCCAGGAUACUAGUCUGUGUGAAUCAUGCACCUGAAGGGUCAGGGAUUGAACUGAAGGUUCUGUCAUCCAGGAUGGACUACAAACAGCAGCAAAGUCCAAAUCUAACCUUCAGGAUAGAAGUCUAUGUCCACCAGUAAAGAGAUACCUGGAGAUCCCCACUGCAGUCCAGGCACAAAUCCAAUGACUUCAACCUGACCAAUCAGGAGAGUUCAGAUUGGCUACUUGGUCUGAUGGAUUGAGUUCUUUCCAUUUGACACAUAAGAUCACAGCUGAUGACUCAAGAGAUCGGCCUGACUCUGCCUCUCAAGUGGGAAUACAGUGAUGAGCUCUAUACAUCAGGAGACACAGGGUGGUGAUUUCGAGGUGUGGAUUGAGACAGCAGAAGUAGGAGCUCUGCAGGAAGUCCAGAUGGCAGUGUGCCCACUUCCCCAGCAUGAAGGGUCUGUGUCCAGCACAGGACGAGGAAAGUGACAGGAAGCUGGAGGAAAAUGGGGACCACAUCGGAUGGGAUGCUGGGACUUUGCUCCACUUUGGAUAUCUGCAGGUUCUGCUGGAUAUGUUCAGACAAACCUCAUCUUUACCAUAUGUGCAUCCUGUCUCAUCUAGGCAAG
Peromyscus maniculatus bairdii (prairie deer mouse) is the source of this 1700-nucleotide non-coding RNA. Lineage: Eukaryota; Metazoa; Chordata; Mammalia; Rodentia; Cricetidae. The record is from RefSeq and is a predicted model, not a curated record.